RNAcentral lists this ribosomal RNA (489 nucleotides) under uncultured bacterium. RNAcentral's name for it is "bacterial SSU rRNA". It matches the Rfam family "Bacterial small subunit ribosomal RNA", at positions 29 to 513 of the family's 1533-position model. The record is from RNAcentral.
AGUGAACGCUGGCGGCAGGCCUAAUACAUGCAAGUCGAGCGAGAAGGUGUAGCAAUACACUUGUAAAGCGGCGAACGGGUGAGGAAUACAUGGGUAAUCUACCAUCGAGUGGGGAAUAACCAACCGAAAGGUUGGCUAAUACCGCGUACGCCUCCGAGUCUUCGGGUUCGGAGGGAAAGCUGCACUGUGAGUGUAGCGCUCUUUGAUGAGCUCAUGUCCUAUCAGCUUGUUGGUAGGGUAACGGCCUACCAAGGCUUUGACGGGUAGCUGGUCUGAGAGGACGAUCAGCCACACUGGCACUGCGACACGGGCCAGACUCCUACGGGAGGCAGCAGUAAGGAAUAUUGCGCAAUGGGCGAAAGCCUGACGCAGCGACGCCGCGUGGGGGAUGAAGGUCUUCGGAUUGUAACCCCUUUCGGAGGGAAGAUGGAGCGAGCAAUCGUUCGGACGGUACCUCCAGAAGCAGCCACGGCCAACUUCGUGCCAGCA